CGAAGUAAAAGUCGUAACAAGGUUUCCGUAGGUGAACCUGCGGAAGGAUCAUUAAAGAGAAUAUGCCCUUCGGGGUAGAUCUCCCACCCUUUGUUUAUAUUACCUUUGUUGCUUUGGCAGGCCCGUCUUCGGACCACCGGCUUCGGCUGGUCAGUGCUUGCCAGAGGACCCAAAACUCUUAUUAUUAAUGUCGUCUGAGUACUAUAUAAUAGUUAAAACUUUCAACAACGGAUCUCUUGGUUCUG
RNAcentral lists this unclassified non-coding RNA (245 nucleotides) under plant metagenome. RNAcentral describes it as "partial contains small subunit ribosomal RNA, internal transcribed spacer 1, and 5.8S ribosomal RNA". The stretch from base 1 to 54 matches the Rfam family "Eukaryotic small subunit ribosomal RNA", at positions 1778 to 1831 of the family's 1831-position model. The record is from RNAcentral.